RNAcentral lists this ribosomal RNA (460 nucleotides) under uncultured bacterium. RNAcentral's name for it is "partial 16S ribosomal RNA". It matches the Rfam family "Bacterial small subunit ribosomal RNA", at positions 338 to 795 of the family's 1533-position model. The record is from RNAcentral.
CCUACGGGUGGCAGCAGUGAGGAAUAUUGGUCAAUGGGCGGGAGCCUGAACCAGCCAAGUCGCGUGAGGGAAGACGGUCCUAUGGAUUGUAAACCUCUUUUGGCGGGGAGCAAUGCCGGGCACGCGUGCCCGGAGGGAGAGUACCCGCAGAAUAAGCAUCGGUGAACUCCGUGCCAGCAGCCGCGGUAAUACGGAGGAUGCGAGCGUUAGCCGGAUUUAUUGGGUUUAAAGGGUGCGUAGGCGGGUUUUUAAGUCAGCGGUAAAAUGCCGGGGCUCAACCCGGGCCGGCCGUUGAAACUGGGAGUCUUGAGUGGGAGAGAAGUAUGCGGAAUGCGUGGGGUAGCGGUGAAAUGCAUAGAUAUCGCGCAGAACUCCGAUUGCGAAGGCAGCAUGCCGGCGCCAGACUGACGCUGAGGCACGAAAGCGUGGGGAUCGAACAGGAUUAGAUACCCUAGUAGUC